This is a long non-coding RNA of Balaenoptera ricei (Rice's whale), 1636 nucleotides long. RefSeq lists it as uncharacterized. The transcript has 3 exons. The record is from RefSeq and is a predicted model, not a curated record. Lineage: Eukaryota; Metazoa; Chordata; Mammalia; Artiodactyla; Balaenopteridae.
GGGUGCGCUGGGCUUGCGCUGGGGCGGGCGGGGGGCGUCCACACGCUUUCUCCCCAGCACGCGUGGGCCUCAUGCGUGGGGCUUUUCACGACUCUCGGGAGUGAGCUGGACACCCUGGGCACCUUUGGACGCGUCCUUCGUAGACGCGCUGUGACACGUGUGUUAGCCUGGGGGCUGGUGGAGCUGAACUGAGACACCACGCCCCCCCGAACACGCACGCACCCCGAGAAUCCCGAGGGAGCUGUUCCCCAGUGUCGGCGGGAAGCGUAUCUGCCAGGUGCGACGGUGGACUGUAGUGGACGCGAAUACCCGGCCCUGUCCGCAGAGGGCCACCUUCCUAGGUCAGAAAUAAUGGACAGUGGAUGGCUACCAACAGACCAUUGAAAGCCAUGGAGUCUCUUCGGGUGCCUGCAAAAGAAGCCUCAUCUCCUGCAUUGAGACAAUACAGACAAGGGCCAGGCUCAAGAAUUAACAUCUCAAAGAUGCCAGAAUACAUCAGCCUGGGGCCAUCGGAAGAUGGGAAGUGCCCCUCUUACUGCUACGCCAGAUAACCCUGGAGGAAUUUUUGCUUUCCAUCCUAUGACUCUGGGCUCUGCUGUCCCGGGGGUGCGGGGAGGCUGCUGCCACCGGUGACAGUGGUCCCCCUCUGAACCAGCAGGGAUGGGGGUUCCUGCAUCGGCUGGUGGGACUGAUCCCAAUUACUGAGGGGGAGCCUGGAGGCCGGCACAACUCGAGGACAGUAAAACCUGUAUCUGUACCUGACGUCUUCACUGGGCACCUCCUCGUACUUGGUACUUCCAGGUUCAACUGUAAAAGAAGGAAAGGAAGUCCUCCAAAAACAAAACUGUUAAGGUCUCAAAUCUUUCAGAAAGGACAGUGAGGCCCAGAAAACCAGGCCUACAUGGUAGAAGGAAGACUCGUUGAAACAGGGGCGCAGCCCUGUUUAAUGCUUGCUCUGGACGUCUCCUCCUCACCUCCCCCACUUUACACGACAUGCUGGGUGUGUUAACUACACCGAUUAGCAAAGGGCAGACCCAGCACUGAGGGAGGAAUCCGGCAUUACCUGGAGAGCCUGCAUUACUGAGAUACGAUACCUCGUGGGCCUUCCUUGGUAGGAAGAAUGCUUGCCCCGCAUCAGGCAGGUGCAUUUUGGUAACUAAGUAUGGGUGGGUGAGAACGCAUUCUUCGUAGCCAAAGGGUCACCUGCCAGUGUGCUUUCAGAUCAAUUCGUCUGCUCUGCACAAGGUGCCGACUUCUGCAAGGAACUGUCCCAGGCUCCCCUGUCUAGUUUGGCGAACAGGAGGGCAGGAGGAGAAAGAUGGGCGUCUCUCUCCCUUCCACAGUGAUGCGGAUGCAUCUCCCCUGAGGGGUCAGCUCCUGCAGGAGGGGCUCUGCCCCUGUGUCCCAGUAACCGUUCUGCUGACCCGCCAGCCCCAGGGAAAGGGCUCCUCCAUCAUCACAGUGAUCAAAUGCUUGUACUGGAUUCCCUUAGCUGGAAAGCCUAGCGUGGUUAUGUUCUCCCACCUGGGCUGACACAGUGUCCUGUAGUUGAUUAAGACGUACUGGGUCAGACUUCAGUUUGGUCAUGACACUUUUUUCAUCUUUCAUUAUGAAAAUUUUCAAAAAAUAAAUAACC